RNAcentral lists this ribosomal RNA (446 nucleotides) under uncultured bacterium. Its description in RNAcentral is "partial 16S ribosomal RNA". It matches the Rfam family "Bacterial small subunit ribosomal RNA", at positions 329 to 792 of the family's 1533-position model. The record is from RNAcentral.
GGCCAGACUCCUACGGGAGGCAGCAGUGGGGAAUAUUGCACAAUGGGGGAAACCCUGAUGCAGCGACGCCGCGUGAGUGAAGAAGUAUUUCGGUAUGUAAAGCUCUAUCAGCAGGAAAGAAAAUGACGGUACCUGACUAAGAAGCCCCGGCUAGCUACGUGCCAGCAGCCGCGGUAAUACGUAGGGGGCAAGCGUUAUCCGGAUUUACUGGGUGUAAAGGGAGCGUAGACGGUGAAGCAAGUCUGAAGUGAAAGGCGGGGGCUCAACCCCCGGACUGCUUUGGAAACUGUUUGACUGGAGUGCAGGAGAGGUAAGUGGAAUUCCUAGUGUAGCGGUGAAAUGCGUAGAUAUUAGGAGGAACACCAGUGGCGAAGGCGGCUUACUGGACUGUAACUGACGUUGAGGCUCGAAAGCGUGGGGAGCAAACAGGAUUAGAUACCCUGGUA